AGUCGUAACAAGGUUUCCGUAGGUGAACCUGCGGAAGGAUCAUUAACAAAUCUUCUUUAUAAAAACCUGUUGCAUCGGCCGUGGAAGGUUCCCUUUGGCGAGACAGUCGCCUCGUCCAUUGGGAGUGCUGAAGCGGAGUAUUGGUCGUGGCAUCGGUAUGAUGCUGACCUUUACACACAUAAACGUCUAAUUGUUGUCUAAUUGUUGCGUAAAUAUAAUUAAUACAACUAUUAACAGUGGAUCUCUUGGCUCCCA
RNAcentral lists this unclassified non-coding RNA (255 nucleotides) under fungal sp. RNAcentral describes it as "partial internal transcribed spacer region". The stretch from base 1 to 45 matches the Rfam family "Eukaryotic small subunit ribosomal RNA", at positions 1787 to 1831 of the family's 1831-position model. Lineage: Eukaryota; Fungi. The record is from RNAcentral.